RNAcentral lists this ribosomal RNA (253 nucleotides) under uncultured bacterium. RNAcentral's name for it is "partial 16S ribosomal RNA". It matches the Rfam family "Bacterial small subunit ribosomal RNA", at positions 524 to 776 of the family's 1533-position model. The record is from RNAcentral.
UACGGGGGGGGCAAGCGUUGUUCGGAAUUACUGGGCGUAAAGGGCGCGUAGGCGGCCUUGUAAGUCAGAUGUGAAAUCCCUCGGCUCAACCGAGGAACUGCGUCUGAUACUGGAAGGCUUGAGUCCGGGAGAGGGAUGUGGAAUUCCAGGUGUAGCGGUGAAAUGCGUAGAUAUCUGGAGGAACACCGGUGGCGAAGGCGGCAUCCUGGACCGGUAUUGACGCUGAGGCGCGAAAGCUAGGGGAGCAAACGGG